AAGGCUUUAAUUUAAUUAAAGUGCCUGAGUUGCAUUCAGGAGAUGUGGGUUAAUAUCCUGCAGGUCUUA
RNAcentral lists this transfer RNA (69 nucleotides) under Leptodactylus mystacinus (moustached frog). RNAcentral describes it as "tRNA-Ala". It matches the Rfam family "tRNA". Rfam says of the family: Transfer RNA (tRNA) molecules are approximately 80 nucleotides in length. Their secondary structure includes four short double-helical elements and three loops (D, anti-codon, and T loops). Lineage: Eukaryota; Metazoa; Chordata; Amphibia; Anura; Leptodactylidae. The record is from RNAcentral.